Molecule: ribosomal RNA, 903 nt
Filed under: uncultured bacterium
Lineage: Bacteria
Description: bacterial SSU rRNA
Rfam family: Bacterial small subunit ribosomal RNA
Source: RNAcentral
AGGGGGCGAGCGUUGUUCGGAAUUACUGGGCGUAAAGGGCGCGUAGGCGGUAUUGGAAGUCAUGGGUGAAAGUCCUCGGCUCAACCGAGGGAUUGUCUGUGAAACCACGGUACUGGAGUGCUGGAGAGGGAAGUGGAAUUCCCAGUGUAGCGGUGAAAUGCGUAGAUAUUGGAAGGAACAUCGGUGGCGAAGGCGGCUUCCUGGACAGACACUGACGCCGAGGCGCGAAAGCCAGGGGAGCGAACGGGAUUAGAUGCCCCGGUAGUCCUGGCUGUAAACGAUGAACACUUGGUGUGGGGGGUGAUGAAAGUCCCUCUGUGCCGGAGAGAACUCAUUAAGUGUUCCGCCUGGGGAGUACGGCCGCAAGGCUGAAACUCAAAGGAAUUGACGGGGGCCCGCACAAGCGGUGGAGCAUGUGGUUUAAUUCGACGCAACGCGAAGAACCUUACCGGGGUUUGAACUGCACCUGAACGAUCUAGGGAUGGAGAGGUUCCUUUCGGGGACAGGUGUAGAGGUGCUGCAUGGCUGUCGUCAGCUCGCGUCGUGAGAUGUUGGGUUAAGUCCCGCAACGAGCGCAACCCUUGUCUGUAGUUGCCAUCAGGUGAAGCUGGGCACUCUACGGAGACUGUCGGCGAGAAGCCGGAGGAAGGUGGGGAUGACGUCAAGUCCUCAUGGCCUUUAUGUCCCGGGCUACACACGUGCUACAAUGGGCGGUACAGAGGGCAGCGACCCUGUGAAGGCAAGCGAAUCCCAGAAAACCGCUCUCAGUUCGGAUUGCAGUCUGCAACUCGACUGCAUGAAGUUGGAAUCGCUAGUAAUCGCGGAUCAGAACGCCGCGGUGAAUACGUUCCCGGGCCUUGUACACACCGCCCGUCACAUCACGAAAGUGGGCUGUACUAGAGC